GACGAACGCUGGCGGCGUGCUUAACACAUGCAAGUCGAACGGAAAGGCCCUGCUUUUGUGGGGUGCUCGAGUGGCGAACGGGUGAGUAACACGUGAGUAACCUGCCCUUGACUUUGGGAUAACUUCAGGAAACUGGGGCUAAUACCGGAUAGGAGCUCCUGCUGCUUGGUGGGGGUUGGAAAGUUUCGGCGGUUGGGGAUGGACUCGCGGCUUAUCAGCUUGUUGGUGGGGUAGUGGCUUACCAAGGCUUUGACGGGUAGCCGGCCUGAGAGGGUGACCGGCCACAUUGGGAAUGAGAUACGGCCCAGACUCCUACGGGAGGCAGCAGUGGGGAAUAUUGCACAAUGGGCGGAAGCCUGAUGCAGCAACGCCGCGUGCGGGAUGACGGCCUUCGGGUUGUAAACCGCUUUCGCCUGUGACGAAGCGUGAGUGACGGUAAUGGGUAAAGAAGCACCGGCUAACUACGUG
RNAcentral lists this ribosomal RNA (468 nucleotides) under uncultured bacterium. RNAcentral's name for it is "partial 16S ribosomal RNA". It matches the Rfam family "Bacterial small subunit ribosomal RNA", at positions 28 to 507 of the family's 1533-position model. The record is from RNAcentral.